GACGCACGCUGGCGGCGUGCUUAACACAUGCAAGUCGAACGGAAAGGCCCUGCUUUUGUGGGGUGCUCGAGUGGCGAACGGGUGCGUAACACGUGAGUAACCUGCCCUUGACUUUGGGAUAACUUCAGGAAACUGGGGCUAAUACCGGAUAGGAGCUCCUGCUGCAUGGUGGGGGUUGGAAAGUUUCGGCGGUUGGGGAUGGACUCGCGGCUUAUCAGCUUGUUGGUGGGGUAGUGGCUUACCAAGGCUUUGACGGGUAGCCGGCCUGAGAGGGUGACCGGCCACAUUGGGACUGAGAUACGGCCCAGACUCCUACGGGAGGCAGCAGUGGGGAAUAUUGCACAAUGGGCGGAAGCCUGAUGCAGCAACGCCGCGUGCGGGAUGACGGCCGUCGGGUUGUAAACCGCUUUCGCCUGUGACGAAGCGUGAGUGACGGUAAUGGGUAAAGGAGCACCGGCUAACUACGUG
RNAcentral lists this ribosomal RNA (468 nucleotides) under uncultured bacterium. RNAcentral describes it as "partial 16S ribosomal RNA". It matches the Rfam family "Bacterial small subunit ribosomal RNA", at positions 28 to 507 of the family's 1533-position model. The record is from RNAcentral.